CCGGGAACGGCAGGGUGACGAUGUCGACGGCCCUGGGGCGGUCGUCCAUGCGUACCCGGAAUGCUGUGUCGUGGGUCUCGACCACGCCGCCGGC
RNAcentral lists this transfer RNA (94 nucleotides) under Asanoa ferruginea. Its description in RNAcentral is "tRNA-Pro". The record is from RNAcentral. Lineage: Bacteria; Bacillati; Actinomycetota; Actinomycetes; Micromonosporales; Micromonosporaceae.